This is a long non-coding RNA of Castor canadensis (American beaver), 1297 nucleotides long. RefSeq lists it as uncharacterized. The record is from RefSeq and is a predicted model, not a curated record. NCBI's taxonomy places the organism in Eukaryota, Metazoa, Chordata, Mammalia, Rodentia, Castoridae.
GGGCCGGUAGGUGGCGCCCAAGACCCAGAACCCCUCACAGGCCGUGUCCCAAUCAGAAGAGGCUGUGCCCCAGUUUUCUCAGGGGAUGAGGCCAUGAGGGGGCUUCAGGCCCUUUCCUCCUACCUCCUUGCCUAUCCUUGUCCCCUCCCCCUUGCCCCUCUGAGAUGCUAGGUCUUCCCAGGAGCAUGCGGGUCAGAACUGGCUAGAGUCCUCCCCCUCCUGCCCCUUCCCUCCCCUCCCCUCUUCUCUCGCCCAGGUUCUUCUUCCUGCCGACUAAAUUUAGAGGUGAGGAUGUGACCGCCUGCACGCACCCGUGGCGGGCGGGGAGGCAGGGUCAGCGCCGAUGCCGCCGGAUGUCUGGCAGCCGAGCGCGGACGGGACGCUGCGUCAGCCUCCCCUCCCCACUCCAAGAAACCAAAGGAACGCCACACACAGCCCAUGGAGGGCCAAGAAAUGAGUCUGCCCUGGCACCCUUAUCAGCCCACCAGAGUGGACACACCGGACACACCCAUAUGUCCAACUGAAAGGAAAAGAGAAGACAUAUCCAGGAACACCUGCCAUGUGCCACAGGUUCAAGAGAAACUGCCUUAUUGAGGAAGAAUAAUUUAAAUGGUCCUCAGUGCCUGCUUGUCCUUUUCUCGCCUUGGGGAAAGAAAUAAAUAAAUAACAUCCGCUCCUUGAUCUGUAUGCACAGGAGAAACAGGACACUCUGUACUUUUCUUGCAGAUAAAAGAGAGAAGAAAAAGUGCUGGCUCUGCCAGGCAGAGAAGAGGAGGGGGGAGGCACAGGAGAAUAGACAUUUGCUUUCUUGCUCUGGCUUCCAUGGCAAAAUGGGGAUGGGAGCCUGGUGCCUCCUGCUCAGCGCCUAUGCCAGGGCUCCCAUGUCCCCAAAGAGGCCAAUCCCUAAAAAUUCAAGAAAUCAGGCCAGUCAGAGAAUGAGUGUUCCCCACCUCACUCAAGAUACUCCACUGCCUCCUACCACCGCUUCUCCAACCCACAGGCCGUGGCCUCCCCCUGCUGGCCAGGGCUAGUACCACUCCAACCAGGCCUGUCCAAGAAGCUGAACGGAAGGAGGAAGGCAGCAGAGGAAGAUCUGAAACAAAGGAAGAAUAGACCUGUCUUAUGACAGUAUGGCCAAAUAUGGACGGAUAAAGACUAGGAGGCCACUCUGGAGGCAGAGGCAGGAAGAUCGUGAAUUUGAGACCAGCCUGGGCUACAUAGUGAGACCUUGUCUCAAAAAUAAAUAAAGUAGGGGACCAGGUGAAACCAGGAUGAGCAUAACAGCCAAGCCUGGUGU